GCAUUCCAGCCUGGGCAACAAGAGCAAAACUCCGCCUCAAAAAAAAAAAAAAUCUGUUUGCAGGAACAGAAUCAAUACAAGUCUAGUUUAGAACUGUGCCCCUAAAACAACCUUUUUUUUAUCCUAACAGUACAACCGUACAAUGCUAAUUUAAUAGUAUUUGAAGGACAUUAGGCGUUUGUAAACAUUAACCAAAACUCAGUGAAUACUACCACAUUGUAAACAAUGCCAUUGAUAUGGAAUUUUAAAAUAUAGCCAAGUUUUGGGACAAUUUAAGAAUGCAGAAGUUCAAAAAAUACUUGGUAUAAUCCAAGUUCCUGUUUUAACCACAUAGAAGCCAAGAUUUAAAAAGAGGAAAUGGGGGCAUUGUGUAAUUUAACACGUCUGAAAUUCAAAGAUACAUAUUCAAUUGUCAAAGACCUUCAAGCUCAGAGGAAUGACCCAAAUGGCACAUUAUAUGGGAAGUACAACUCUAAUGACUUUUUAGAGAAACAGAAUGGUUACUUAGAGCAGUCUGGAGUUAAAAGUGCAUAUGUCUUUCCAUGAAGAAAGAUGGUUAUGGAAUUAAACUGAUAUCAUUGUGAUACAAUCACAAUGGCAUCAGCUUAGGACAAAUGACAGCUGAGCCCCAAAGCUAUGGAAAGGGUUGUCCACAGGCACAGACAGCCACGGUGGGCUGGAGCCAGAGCCCUCCUUGGGAAAUUCCAGGGCCCCCACCUCAUUGUGCAUGUUGGAGUCACCUGCUGGGGAUUUCCACCAGAGUUUUUAUUUGGUGAUUAUUUGUGCUGUUGGAUUUUUUUUUUUUUUUUCUGGUCGUUAUGAGUACAUUCCUUAGUAGGUAAAAGAGUUACUUCCAGAAAGGCUGCAUAAAAAGAGUGAAGCUUCGGGUAACACAUUAAACCACCAGAUGAUUAACAUUGGGGAGAACAAGGAGAGCACCUGAAGGUCCCAGAGCUUGGCCUCACUUUGGAAGGGGUAGACAAUGGGGAGCCUAGGUCUGUGGGAGCCCUUAGACAGGCAGGGGUCAGCAGGGUUCUGGGGUGGAGGGAGGGUGGGCUGGGCCACAGGCCAGGUCCCACUUCCCAUGACUGGACUAAGCAGUGAUGCAGAACCUGCCUCCCUGGUAUGUGGGAUGACUCCUGUGCGAUUGUACGCAGUUGUUAGCUUCCUGGUUUCAGAGCUGCUCUGUGCCACAUGGGGUCUCUUGUGGUCACGGAUUUGUCCUUGACCAAGACACAGACGGUUCUGGUUGCCCAUCCCUUGCAAGCAGUUAUGAUUCUCAAAGCACUUUCUGUGCCAGCCACUCCAAAUCCUCCCAGGGCCGGGCUUUGGUGAUCCCUCCACCUGUACUUUUGACAAGACAGAACACAGCUUGUUCCAGGUCAUGCAGCCAGUAAGAAGUAGAGUUGGACAUGGACUGGAGGCUCACCCUUGGAGUCUGUGCUCCUCCCUGUGUCUCAGGAGCUCCCCUCAGUUCCCUGGAACAAGGCUGGAACAUCAAAACGACCUUCUGAAAACUGGCAGGAAAAUGUCAGAAAAGCAAAAUGGAUUGAGGGCAUCUGACAGUUUGUCUUACUAGAGGCACAUCUGGGGGUUAUCCAGGCCAUUGCUGCAAUCACUGAGAUGGGUCUCGAGCCAGGGCACGUGUGUGCUAGGACCCUGGCUCAGUGCCUGUCGCCCAUUGCACGGUGAUGAACCAAUAUACCGAAAUAGCGGGAGAUGCAGCAGAGAAAGAGCCUAAGACUCGUGGGGCAGCCAAGCGAGGAGACGGGAGGAAACCUCAAACCCACCUCCCUCGGGUCUUGGGGAUGGUGUUUUUCAGGGGUCUGUGCAGGUGAUGGGGUCUGAAGUGUGGGGACUGCUGAUUUAUGAAUAAGUGAGGAGUGAAGUCACGGGACGGGGGAUGAAGAACCACAUUCUUGAGCUGAGGCGGUUCCUUUGUGGGGCCUUCAGACCAGUUGGCAUCAGCUGUUCUGCCAGAAUUCAGGGUAUAGGAAACACCUCAAGCAAUUCUUGGCUUAAAAGGUCCAGGCUCAGAGAUUCUACCUCUAGGAAGAAUGGGAAGCAGGUGGUCCAUGUGCUGUGACUCUUGUUAACAGCUGCAGGAAGGUGAGCGCAGUGCCCACUACACCCCAGUCAGUGCCUAACUCCAGUUCUUCCCAAAGCCUGCCUUGGAAUUCUCCGUAACCCUGUAAAGAGGGUUUCACCAAGGCUGGUAUCUGAUCUCUGCCGGACGAGCUACAGGCCAGGGCUUCUGAUUGCCUGGGUCACCCUUCCCAGUCCCUCCUUCCUGAGGGGGCAUCACCACCCUGCACACACCCCUGAAGACCACACCUUGAUGUCGACAACUUGACCUCCAUCUCCUAGCUUUGUCUGGUGGUUGUCAAACUACAGGGUCCGCUGGUAUCCCUGGUGGACCUGCAAAGCCCAGAUUGCUGGGACCACCUGGAGUGCCACUGACUAGCAGGUCUGGGACCAGGUCGAGAAUGCACCUCUGACAAGCUCCCACGUGAGGCUUGGUGCCCAGGUCAGCCUUGGAGAACUGAGGCUCGAGGCCAGCGGGUCCCCACCCUGGCUGCGCAGCAGCCUCCCCGAGGAGCACUAAACACCAGCCACAGCAGCUCUUCUCCAGCAGGGCAGGGGCAUUUAAAGCCCCCAGGCACAGGCUGGGUGGAGGAACAUUGAGCUGGGCAGUGGGCGGUGAUGGAGCAUCCAGCCAUUUCUAGCUCCUCCCACCUGCCCAGGUAAAGGCUCCCAGGCAUGUACAGCAAAAGGUCUCACGCAGUUGGAAGUUUGUGUUUUUUUUGUAUUUUGUUUUUCUCUGUUUUUUUUGCUGUCACCCAGGAUGGAGUGCAGUGGCGCAAUCACAGCUCACUGCAACCUCCAACUCCUAGGCUUAAGCCAUCCUCCUGCCUCAGCCUCCCAAGUAGCUGGGACUACAGGCACGUGCCACCACACUGCUAAUUUUUUUGAAUGUUUAGUAGAGAUGGAGUCUCACUGUUGGAGGCUGGGUCACCAGGAGUGCUGUGUGACUCAGGGUUGAGGCUGAUCUCGAAUUGCUGAGCUCAACCAACCCUCCCACCGUGGUCUCCCAAAGUGCUGGGAUUACAAGUGUGAGCCACCGUGCCUGGCCACAGUUAGAAUUGUAAAGUAGGGGCCUAAAGCAGAUGCCUCCACACAUGCCCAUUUGCAGGUUUGCAGUGGCCCUGGCAAUGUGGCCAGUUUUGCGGCUUGGCCAGACAAACUGAGGGGUUUCCCAGGACAAGAGCCUUUCUGUGCGAACACCGGGACAUUCACCAACUGCAGCCAUGGCCAGCAGCCAGCUUGUGUCUGGAGCUCUCGGGCAGAUCCGUGUGGAGCUUACUGCUGAAUUCUGCUUUGGGGCUGUGAGCGGCUUUGGCACAGCCCAGUUUCCACACUUCCCCUAAAGUGGUAAAGCAGUACUGGCUUCCUCUCCUCUGAGUACCCCAGGUGGAGGCAGAGAGGACUCUGCAGACAGCCGGGGAGAGGUGCAGACACAGCUGGAAGGGAGGAAGAGAGAGCCAGAGGAGAGGUGUAGACUCAGUUGAAAGGGAGGUGUAGACAGCUAGGGGAGGUGUGGACAACCAAAGGGAAGGUGUCAAUGGCUGGAAGGGAGGUGUAGACAGCUGGAGGCGAGGUGUAGAUGGCUACAGGGGAGGACAGGCAGACACCCACUUCCCUGCUUUGCUCCUGCCUUGGCCAGCCUCCACCGAAGGCACCUCUUUGGUGGGGCCACCACACCACACCACAUUUCUGGAAAUGCACCUAGGAUUUGGGACAGGGGCUCAGAGCAGGGCCCUGUGCAGACCAGCAGGUAAGGCAGGAAAGGCGAAAGCAGACCCUGCCCCCUGGUCUGAAGCCAGCCGGUGUGCCUAUGUGGUGGAGGGCAGCAGGCAGGACCACGCCCACUUGCACUUGGCCACCUUGCCAGUUGGGGACAGAGCGGGCACAGUGCCCAGUUUCUAUGGACAGCCUGUAUUGAAGUUUUAUUUUUUUUCCAUACAUAUGGUUGAUUAGCAAUAUAAUUUAUAGGAUGUCGUUUUAUACCCUGACAAGUUUAAAUGUAAAUAAAUUGGCACCACCUUUAAUUAGACUGCUGUCCUGACUUGCACAGGGA
Sapajus apella (tufted capuchin) is the source of this 4138-nucleotide long non-coding RNA. RefSeq lists it as uncharacterized. NCBI's taxonomy places the organism in Eukaryota, Metazoa, Chordata, Mammalia, Primates, Cebidae. The transcript has 2 exons. The record is from RefSeq and is a predicted model, not a curated record.